This 440-nucleotide ribosomal RNA is filed under the name uncultured bacterium. Its description in RNAcentral is "partial 16S ribosomal RNA". It matches the Rfam family "Bacterial small subunit ribosomal RNA", at positions 338 to 795 of the family's 1533-position model. The record is from RNAcentral.
CCUACGGGGGGCAGCAGUGGGGGAUAUUGCACAAUGGGGGGAACCCUGAUGCAGCGACGCCGCGGGGGUGAAGAAGCGCCUCGGCGCGUAAAGCCCUGUCAGCAGGGAAGAAAAUGACGGUACCUGAAGAAGAAGCCCCGGCUAACUACGUGCCAGCAGCCGCGGUAAUACGUAGGGGGAAAGCGUUAUCCGGAUUUACUGGGUGGAAAGGGGGCGCAGACGGCGAUGCAAGCCAGGAGUGAAAGCCCGGGGCCCAACCCCGGGACUGCUCUUGGAACUGCGUGGCUGGAGUGCAGGAGGGGCAGGCGGAAUUCCUGGUGUAGCGGUGAAAUGCGUAGAUAUCAGGAGGAACACCGGUGGCGAAGGCGGCCUGCUGGACUGCAACUGACGUUGAGGCCCGAAAGCGUGGGGAGCAAACAGGAUUAGAUACCCUUGUAGUC